GGGGCUGUCACGGGUUCGAUAGGGACAGGAGGCCAGAUGAGCAAGCCGAGGGCGCGCGGGUCCUCGUAAAUCCUCCGUGCAAAGAAGACAAUUGCCAACAUCUUCGCGAAGGCCAAGAACAUGAUCGCUUCGGCGUUCUCCGUUCCGACCUUCUCCACGGUUGUCGCCUAAUAGCCACAACCCAUCCGUCCCCUGACGUCCGAUAGCGGGAUUCGGGUGCCAUAUAAUCGGGCUGGGCCAUGCCGUUGUUCGUCCGGUAUGACCGAGGAGGCAGGCGAGCACGUUCGCGCGGGUUUUGUCCCGCUCACAUCGCGCGGCCGUAUCUAGGCGGGACUCAGCUUGAAGAAACAUCCGGUCGAGCGUUCUUACACAUGGGUUCAAUUCCCAUCAGCUCCACCA
Molecule: transfer-messenger RNA, 399 nt
Filed under: Patescibacteria group
Lineage: Bacteria
Also listed under: 3 other names
Description: YC12-FULL-57-11 sp001791645 Standard tmRNA
Rfam family: transfer-messenger RNA
About the family: Bacterial tmRNA, also known as 10Sa RNA or SsrA, is named for its dual tRNA and mRNA-like properties. Its role is to liberate the mRNA from a stalled ribosome. To accomplish this part of the tmRNA is used as a reading frame that ends in a translation stop signal.
Source: RNAcentral